RNAcentral lists this ribosomal RNA (424 nucleotides) under uncultured bacterium. RNAcentral describes it as "partial 16S ribosomal RNA". It matches the Rfam family "Bacterial small subunit ribosomal RNA", at positions 360 to 776 of the family's 1533-position model. The record is from RNAcentral.
AAUAUUGGACAAUUGGCGAAAGCCUGAUCCAGCCAUUCCGCGUGUGUGAAGAAGGUCUUCGGAUUGUAAAGCACUUUAUGUUGUGAGGAAGGGUUGUAGAUUAAUACUCUGCUAUUUUGACGUUACUGACAGAAUAAGCACCGGCUAACUUCGUGCCAGCAGCCGCGGUAAUACGGAUGGUGCAAGCGUUAAUCGGAAUUACUGGGCGUAAAGCGCGCGUAGGUGGUUCGUUAAGUGGGAUGUGAAAGCCCCGAGCUCAACGUGGGAAAUGCAUCCAAAACUGGCGAGCUAGAGUACGGUAGAGGGUGGUGGAAUUUCCUGUGUAGCGGUGAAAUGCGUAGAGAUAGGAAGGAACACCAGUGGCGAAGGCGACCACCUGGACUGAUACUGACACUGAGGUGCGAAAGCGUGGGGAGCAAACAGG